RNAcentral lists this ribosomal RNA (1853 nucleotides) under Escherichia coli. Its description in RNAcentral is "partial 23S ribosomal RNA". It matches the Rfam family "Bacterial large subunit ribosomal RNA", at positions 1 to 1875 of the family's 2925-position model. The record is from RNAcentral. Lineage: Bacteria; Pseudomonadati; Pseudomonadota; Gammaproteobacteria; Enterobacterales; Enterobacteriaceae.
UUGUGAGGUUAAGCGACUAAGCGUACACGGUGGAUGCCCUGGCAGUCAGAGGCGAUGAAGGACGUGCUAAUCUGCGAUAAGCGUCGGUGAGGUGAUAUGAACCGUUAUAACCGGCGAUUUCCGAAUGGGGAAACCCAGUGUGUUUCGACACACUAUCAUUAACUGAAUCCAUAGGUUAAUGAGGCGAACCGGGGGAACUGAAACAUCUAAGUACCCCGAGGAAAAGAAAUCAACCGAGAUUCCCCCAGUAGCGGCGAGCGAACGGGGAGGAGCCCAGAGCCUGAAUCAGUGUGUGUGUUAGUGGAAGCGUCUGGAAAGGCGUGCGAUACAGGGUGACAGCCCCGUACACAAAAAUGCACAUAUUGUGAGCUCGAUGAGUAGGGCGGGACACGUGGUAUCCUGUCUGAAUAUGGGGGGACCAUCCUCCAAGGCUAAAUACUCCUGACUGACCGAUAGUGAACCAGUACCGUGAGGGAAAGGCGAAAAGAACCCCGGCGAGGGGAGUGAAAAAGAACCUGAAACCGUGUACGUACAAGCAGUGGGAGCCUCUUAAUGGGGUGACUGCGUACCUUUUGUAUAAUGGGUCAGCGACUUAUAUUCUGUAGCAAGGUUAACCGAAUAGGGGAGCCGAAGGGAAACCGAGUCUUAACUGGGCGUUAAGUUGCAGGGUAUAGACCCGAAACCCGGUGAUCUAGCCAUGGGCAGGUUGAAGGUUGGGUAACACUAACUGGAGGACCGAACCGACUAAUGUUGAAAAAUUAGCGGAUGACUUGUGGCUGGGGGUGAAAGGCCAAUCAAACCGGGAGAUAGCUGGUUCUCCCCGAAAGCUAUUUAGGUAGCGCCUCGUGAAUUCAUCUCCGGGGGUAGAGCACUGUUUCGGCAAGGGGGUCAUCCCGACUUACCAACCCGAUGCAAACUGCGAAUACCGGAGAAUGUUAUCACGGGAGACACACGGCGGGUGCUAACGUCCGUCGUGAAGAGGGAAACAACCCAGACCGCCAGCUAAGGUCCCAAAGUCAUGGUUAAGUGGGAAACGAUGUGGGAAGGCCCAGACAGCCAGGAUGUUGGCUUAGAAGCAGCCAUCAUUUAAAGAAAGCGUAAUAGCUCACUGGUCGAGUCGGCCUGCGCGGAAGAUGUAACGGGGCUAAACCAUGCACCGAAGCUGCGGCAGCGACACUAUGUGUUGUUGGGUAGGGGAGCGUUCUGUAAGCCUGUGAAGGUGGCCUGUGAGGGUUGCUGGAGGUAUCAGAAGUGCGAAUGCUGACAUAAGUAACGAUAAAGCGGGUGAAAAGCCCGCUCGCCGGAAGACCAAGGGUUCCUGUCCAACGUUAAUCGGGGCAGGGUGAGUCGACCCCUAAGGCGAGGCCGAAAGGCGUAGUCGAUGGGAAACAGGUUAAUAUUCCUGUACUUGGUGUUACUGCGAAGGGGGGACGGAGAAGGCUAUGUUGGCCGGGCGACGGUUGUCCCGGUUUAAGCGUGUAGGCUGGUUUUCCAGGCAAAUCCGGAAAACCAAGGCUGAGGCGUGAUGACGAGGCACUACGGUGCUGAAGCGACAAAUGCCCUGCUUCCAGGAAAAGCCUCUAAGCAUCAGGUAACAUCAAAUCGUACCCCAAACCGACACAGGUGGUCAGGUAGAGAAUACCAAGGCGCUUGAGAGAACUCGGGUGAAGGAACUAGGCAAAAUGGUGCCGUAACUUCGGGAGAAGGCACGCUGAUAUGUAGGUGAAGCGACUUGCUCGUGGAGCUGAAAUCAGUCGAAGAUACCAGCUGGCUGCAACUGUUUAUUAAAAACACAGCACUGUGCAAACACGAAAGUGGACGUAUACGGUGUGACGCCUGCCCGGUGCCGGAAG